UUUGCAGCCCGACCUGAGUGGAGCUCUUUUUGUCGCAACGAAGUGAAGACAAAAAAGCGGGAACGGAGGGCGGAAAUGUCU
RNAcentral lists this unclassified non-coding RNA (81 nucleotides) under Kaistella antarctica. RNAcentral describes it as "Chryseobacterium antarcticum Flavo-1 RNA". The record is from RNAcentral. Lineage: Bacteria; Pseudomonadati; Bacteroidota; Flavobacteriia; Flavobacteriales; Weeksellaceae.